RNAcentral lists this ribosomal RNA (224 nucleotides) under uncultured bacterium. RNAcentral describes it as "partial 16S ribosomal RNA". It matches the Rfam family "Bacterial small subunit ribosomal RNA", at positions 109 to 334 of the family's 1533-position model. The record is from RNAcentral.
AGUAACGCGUAGGAACCUGUCGCGGAGUGGGGGACAACGCCGGGAAACUGGUGCUAAUACCGCAUGAUGUUCAUGAGGGAGACCUUGUGAAAGAAAGCAGCAAUGCGCUCUGUGAGGGGCCUGUGUCCGAUUAGCUUGUUGGUGGGGUAAAGGCCUACCAAGGCGACGAUCGGUAGCUGGUCUGAGAGGACGGUCAGCCACACUGGGACUGAGACACGGCCCAG